This 326-nucleotide long non-coding RNA is filed under the name Homo sapiens (human). RNAcentral's name for it is "non-protein coding lnc-CPEB2-18:7". Lineage: Eukaryota; Metazoa; Chordata; Mammalia; Primates; Hominidae. The record is from RNAcentral.
AUGUACAGCUGAUACCAGGCUGAAGUGGAUCAGGAGGCUGAGGAACUAAGCCAGUGUCAGGUGGUGCACCAGGCUGCCCAAGUAAGAGGCCCUACACAUGCAGGUAGGAAGGCUGUACAUGGCCUUUCUUCCCUUCUGAUGAGCUUGGGCGAAAUAUGUGGAUAUAUAACAGAUAUAGAUCGCAUAGAUGUGAUCAGUGGGGCUGACAGUUCAUGAGAUCUGACCACCUCAGGCAGCACCAAAGGAUUCAUCAGCAGAUGCCAAGAUCUUCAGAUCCAUAGGCUGAUAAUGAAGAGAUGGAUGGUCCUCCUUCUCCUUGUCUUUAG